Molecule: long non-coding RNA, 1437 nt
Organism: Rana temporaria (common frog)
Lineage: Eukaryota; Metazoa; Chordata; Amphibia; Anura; Ranidae
Exons: 2
Source: RefSeq, a predicted model, not a curated record
ACCAUCCUUGUAGGAUUUAUGGAUAUCAAAAUAUGGAUGUUUUUAUUACACUAUCACUUUAAGGGUAACUUCCCAGUUCCCUAUUACAUAGUUAGCAAUCCAUAUUCCAAAAGUGCCUAAAAUUGUCUCAUUAUAUACAAACUGUGGUGGUACUCUGAUCUUAUUUGUGUUUACGGCUCUGCUCCCCCCUCCCCGCCUUUUUUCUGUUUUCUUUUUUCUUUUUCCUUUUUCUCUCCCUUCGUUCUGAUUGUCUUAUUACCAUUAAGAUAUAGAUAUGUUGUCUUGAAGAAAAAAACUUGUAUCUGUUUCAUUAAAUAUAAUAAACUAAGAUAUUCUGCAUAUUAUUCAUUGUCAUCCACACUUUGCUGCUAGUGGUUGGCAUACUGUUACAAUCGUAUUUUUGUUUUUUAAGGUAUAUUUCACAUAAUGUUACAUGCUCAUGAUCUUGGUUGCCCUGGUGUUACUGGGGAUUGGCGCGGCCCUUGGGGUUCACUGCAGGAAUUGUAUGGCCGGCUAACCACAGCAUGGGUUGCAUGCUGUGGUUUACUUGGGGUUAAGUGGAGCGAUUCCCUCAUUCAGCGCCGCUUUGAUGGCUUCGCCAUCGAGGGUGUGCGGUGAGUCCAGGGACACGCCCCGACUCCUGCCAUUGGCGGGACGUGUGUCUCCACUCCUCCUCUCCCCGACAGGCCCGCCCUGGCUUGUGUAAGCCUGCUGCGAGCAUCAUCCCGGCUGGGUCACGUGAUGCAGAAGUCCCAUCCGCACACGUGAUCGGAGGCAUCCACAUAUAAUGGGACAGACAGCCCAAACAUUUAGAGGCUACCUCCCCAAAGCUAUUGGCGUGUGAAACAGCAUGACGGCUGAUAUUUGGUGAGUAGACUGACGGUCUCUCCCUAUCUACUUUUACGCUAUCUAUUUACUUUGACAUUUCUCCUAAACGGGCAGUAUACCUAUAUUUAAUACACGCUCAUGUGUGUUUUUUUUUGACCAGAUACCCUCCUACUUCACCACAGCAUCUCUGACUUUCUGGUCUCUAUUUGUAAGGAUUUUCUUCCCUACUCCUAUGGGACUUGUCUCCAUCACCCCUACGCAUGCAGGUUACACCUGCAACCUUGUACCUGUCUAUAAAUUUGAUCAGCUUAUUGUCUGCUGCGGUAUAUAUUUGGAAAAUCUAUAGCUCCUGAAGAAGCACUCAACUGCGAAACAUGUAGAGCUCAUGCAAAAAUACGUCAUAACAAUUACGUUGCUCAUCAACUCACGUUGCUGUCCUUAGUGGACCUCUAUUGGUUUUAGUAAAUUUAUUCUCAUUGUUUUAGUAUCACAGAAUUAUUCUGUGACAAUUCAUGUUUUUUAAAUGUAUUUUGUAUUAUAUGUACUGUAAUGUUGGUUCAAUCACCCAUGUGUCUGGGAUUGUAUCAAUAAACAACUAUUCUGUGUUAA